This 402-nucleotide ribosomal RNA is filed under the name Triticum aestivum (bread wheat). Its description in RNAcentral is "partial small subunit ribosomal RNA". The record is from RNAcentral. Lineage: Eukaryota; Viridiplantae; Streptophyta; Magnoliopsida; Poales; Poaceae.
AUGACUGCAUCCAAGCAAAGCCCCCUCUCUCAUGCACCCAUCGCCCUCCCUUGUUCUCUCUCGCUCAUGCGGCCGCCACCACCACCGACUCCUUCUCCCGUGAUCUCACGCUCGCCGCCGUCGAAGCCUUUCUUUCCCUCCCUCUCGCACACUCACCGGCUGGUCGCUGGGAUGGUUUGGGGUUCCACUGCUGGGCAAAUAGAGUACGCGAAUGAGUCUGCCAUCCUCCUACGCCUCCUCGAGAUGGACAACACGGCUGCAAACUUUGCUCUAUCAAAGGAGGCAGUAUUUGAUGGAAGGAAGUCUGGUCCCAGGGGCACAUAUGGACAGAUGCAUCUUGACUGCAUGUCCAUCAAAAACUUCACAAAGAAGAGCCAUAAAUCCACCAACAAGUUGGCCUGA